UCUAAGUGGGUGGUAUGCUCCAUCUAAAGCUAAAUAUUGGCGAGAGACCGAUAGCGAACAAGUACUGUGAAGGAAAGAUGAAAAGAACUUUGAAAAGAGAGUGAAAAAGUACGUGAAAUUGUUGAAAUGGAAGGCAAUGAGGUGCGAUUGAACCGGACGUUUGCGGGCAGGACAAAAGCGCAGGCCGCCUCGGCAUUGCCUGCGUGCAUACUGCCUCGCGGACUACCAGUUCUAACAACGCCUUAUUGCACCCGUCUUGAAACACGGAC
RNAcentral lists this ribosomal RNA (269 nucleotides) under Entelexis sorbosivorans. RNAcentral's name for it is "Starmerella sorbosivorans partial large subunit ribosomal RNA". It matches the Rfam family "Eukaryotic large subunit ribosomal RNA", at positions 287 to 666 of the family's 3401-position model. Lineage: Eukaryota; Fungi; Ascomycota; Dipodascomycetes; Dipodascales; Trichomonascaceae. The record is from RNAcentral.